GGCUUAGAGUUUGAUCAUGGCUCAGGAUGAACGCUGGCGGCGUGCCUAACACAUGCAAGUCGAGCGAAGCACUUUGCUUUGAGAUCUUCGGAAGGAUAAGUUUUGUGACUGAGCGGCGGACGGGUGAGUAACGCGUGGGUAACCUGCCUCAUACAGGGGGAUAACAGUUAGAAAUGACUGCUAAUACCGCAUAAGACCACAGCACCGCAUGGUGCAGGGGUAAAAACUCCGGUGGUAUGAGAUGGACCCGCGUCUGAUUAGCUAGUUGGUAAGGUAACGGCUUACCAAGGCGACGAUCAGUAGCCGACCUGAGAGGGCGACCGGCCACAUUGGGACUGAGACACGGCCCAAACUCCUACGGGAGGCAGCAGUGGGGAAUAUUGCACAAUGGGGGAAACCCUGAUGCAGCGACGCCGCGUGAGCGAAGAAGUAUUUCGGUAUGUAAAGCUCUAUCAGCAGGGAAGAAACUGACGGUACCUGACUAAGAAGCACCGGCUAAAUACGUGCCAGCAGCCGCGGUAAUACGUAUGGUGCAAGCGUUAUCCGGAUUUACUGGGUGUAAAGGGAGCGUAGACGGAUAGGCAAGUCUGGAGUGAAAGCCCGGGGCUCAACCCCGGGACUGCUUUGGAAACUGUUUAUCUAGAGUGCUGGAGAGGUAAGUGGAAUUCCUAGUGUAGCGGUGAAAUGCGUAGAUAUUAGAGGAACACCAGUGGCGAAGGCGGCUUACUGGACAGUAACUGGCGUUGAGGCUCGAAAGCGUGGGGAGCAAACAGGAUAGAUACCCGGUAGUCACGCCGUAACGAUGACUGCUAGUGUCGGUGGCAAAGCAUUCGUGCGCAGCUACGCAUAGCAGUCACUGGGGAGUAC
This 867-nucleotide ribosomal RNA is filed under the name uncultured bacterium. RNAcentral's name for it is "bacterial SSU rRNA". It matches the Rfam family "Bacterial small subunit ribosomal RNA", at positions 1 to 883 of the family's 1533-position model. The record is from RNAcentral.